Molecule: long non-coding RNA, 1002 nt
Organism: Haliotis rubra (blacklip abalone)
Lineage: Eukaryota; Metazoa; Mollusca; Gastropoda; Lepetellida; Haliotidae
Exons: 3
Source: RefSeq, a predicted model, not a curated record
AAAGGGGUUGCUGACUAGUCCAAAGGAAAGUGCGUUUGUCUACUUCGUGAAAUUCUCAGAUCACUGGUGAAACAUGAUGGCUUCAAGCUGACCACAGAUAACGCCCUGGAACAACGCUCUGUCACUCACUGAAACAGAAGGGGAACACGCUUUAUGGAAGGCACUGACAAGGAAAGAGUUUUGACCCGAAUGUUAGCUCAAUAACACAAGGAUGCCAGGAAGAGUCAUGGCAGGUGCUUUAAUCAAGGUAUCGAUUGGGAAAUUCAAAGAGAAGAAGAAAUACCCAGACUACAAAAUACACUUACUUCCACUUGGCAGGAGAAGAUAAAUAUGAAUUUACAGCAAUCCAUCUUUGUCUGAAUGCUAGAAUAAUAAUAUUGAUAUUUGCUUUCUGUGGGAUAAUGUAAAGCCAGCGAAGCGGACCUUGAUCAUGGACUGAGCGGCGGAUGCCAUAGGUGACCAGAGGUAUGUCUCCUUCCAUGAACCAAAGUACCUACCUCGUGACCAUGGUGAUUCUUGUAUACAGCUAAUAGUAUAUAAUAUUGAUAUUAUUUGGCGGAUCAUAUCGGUUUCACCAAGUUAUUUCCUUUGACGUCAAUUAUUUACGGUGUAUAAGCUGAAAUGCUAAUAUAUCACAAAAAUAGAAUCAAUAAUCUUAUGAGCCUGUUAUUUCGACUUCACUUUCUUGACAAGGUUGUUUCACAGGAAAUAGUUGUUAACAAGCUUGUUUGACCGUUAUAAUUUUGAGAUAAUGUAUAAUCCCUUUGAAAUUCUUGUCCAUGAAAAGGCAUUGAAAACGUAGUAAUUCAUGGGGAUGGGUGUUUUCAAGACAUAUUUGGCGUAUAAUUCAAAUUAUUUUCACUCAAGCGGUAGAAUGUGUCUGCGGUGCAUUGUGUACAUCAAGCAACAGCUCCAUAAAUAGAAUUACCAUUAUCAUUUAGAAACUUUACUUAAAGAUGUACAUGCUGGAUUGACGAUAAUUCCUGUAUCCUAAAAACCUGA